This is a long non-coding RNA of Dipodomys spectabilis (banner-tailed kangaroo rat), 87 nucleotides long. RefSeq lists it as uncharacterized. Lineage: Eukaryota; Metazoa; Chordata; Mammalia; Rodentia; Heteromyidae. The transcript has 2 exons. The record is from RefSeq and is a predicted model, not a curated record.
AAGUCCAUGAGACUCUUAUCUCCAAUUAACCACCAGAAAACUUGAAGUUGCACUGUGGCUCAAGUGGUAGAGCACUAGCCUUGAGCU